ACGCACGCUGGCGGCGUGCUUAACACAUGCAAGUCGAACGGAAAGGCCCUGCUUUUGUGGGGUGCUCGAGUGGCGAACGGGUGAGUAACACGUGAGUAACCUGCCCUUGACUUUGGGAUAACUUCAGGAAACUGGGGCUAAUACCGGAUAGGAGCUCCUGCUGCAUGGUGGGGGUUGGAAAGUUUCGGCGGUUGGGGAUGGACUCGCGGCUUAUCAGCUUGUUGGUGGGGUAGUGGCUUACCAAGGCUUUGACGGGUAGCCGGCCUGAGAGGGUGACCGGCCACAUUGGGACUGAGAUACGGCCCAGACUCCUACGGGAGGCAGCAGUGGGGAAUAUUGCACAAUGGGCGGAAGCCUGAUGCAGCAACGCCGCGUGCGGGAUGACGGCCUUCGGGUUGUAAACCGCUUUCGCCUGUGACGAAGCGUGAGUGACGGUAAUGGGUAAAGAAGCACCGGCUAACUACGAG
This 467-nucleotide ribosomal RNA is filed under the name uncultured bacterium. Its description in RNAcentral is "partial 16S ribosomal RNA". It matches the Rfam family "Bacterial small subunit ribosomal RNA", at positions 29 to 507 of the family's 1533-position model. The record is from RNAcentral.